RNAcentral lists this long non-coding RNA (316 nucleotides) under Arabidopsis lyrata. RNAcentral's name for it is "long non-coding RNA (ALYR_LNC001084)". Lineage: Eukaryota; Viridiplantae; Streptophyta; Magnoliopsida; Brassicales; Brassicaceae. The record is from RNAcentral.
GUCAUCGAACAAAUCAUGGGGUUUUUCGUUUCUAUGAAUUUCUAAGUAAAUUUCAAGCGUUCGUCAGUCUACUUAGAAAUAAUUGAAUUGCAUCGCCACUUUCAGAUUCACUUAUAUUAAGUAAUGUAAAACUCAUUUGCAUAUGCUAUAACCGAUACAAAUAUACAAAACAAGAGAUGCAAAACACCUUUUUAUUGUAGUGAAUUAUUCAAUGCAUUAAAAAACAAAACAAUAAUUAUCGAUAUUAAGAGGCAUGUAAGUUGAUGAGAUUCCCCUUAGUAUCAAUAUAUUGACGCGAGGUUUGGAAGGAUUAGGC